This 52-nucleotide transfer RNA is filed under the name Burkholderia pseudomallei 1258a. RNAcentral describes it as "partial tRNA-Arg". It matches the Rfam family "tRNA", at positions 24 to 71 of the family's 71-position model. Rfam says of the family: Transfer RNA (tRNA) molecules are approximately 80 nucleotides in length. Their secondary structure includes four short double-helical elements and three loops (D, anti-codon, and T loops). The record is from RNAcentral. Lineage: Bacteria; Pseudomonadati; Pseudomonadota; Betaproteobacteria; Burkholderiales; Burkholderiaceae.
UACUUGGCUACGAACCAAGGGGUCGUGGGUUCGAAUCCUGCCAGCCGCGCCA